GGGGGUGACCUGGUUUCGACAGGGAUAAAGGGGAUUGACGAUGCAUGUCGAGAAGAUUACCUACUCGUUAAAAUGGUAAUAACAAAAAUUAAUCGCAGAAUACGAUUACGCAUUAGCUGCUUAGUUCAGCUACGCUCCAGUUUGCUUGGCUGUUUAGCGAAUAUGAGAGUGACAUAAUAAAUAGCUUUGGAUCGUAGAUGUCUAUAAUAUGAUUCAAGACUCAUAGGCUGGCUUUUUUCAAGGUUUGACUGUUUUCCAAAAGAAAAGUAAGAUUAAAAAUAGCUAAACAUGUAGAUUCGGCUUUUGACUUAUCUUUGGACGCGGGUUCGAUUCCCGCCACCUCCACCA
This 348-nucleotide transfer-messenger RNA is filed under the name Candidatus Cloacimonadota bacterium. It matches the Rfam family "transfer-messenger RNA". From Rfam's summary of the family: Bacterial tmRNA, also known as 10Sa RNA or SsrA, is named for its dual tRNA and mRNA-like properties. Lineage: Bacteria; Pseudomonadati; Candidatus Cloacimonadota. The record is from RNAcentral. RNAcentral also lists the same sequence under 2 other names.